Suricata suricatta (meerkat) is the source of this 223-nucleotide long non-coding RNA. RefSeq lists it as uncharacterized. The record is from RefSeq and is a predicted model, not a curated record. NCBI's taxonomy places the organism in Eukaryota, Metazoa, Chordata, Mammalia, Carnivora, Herpestidae. The transcript is spliced from 3 exons.
CCAGAGUUGUGCAAGUUGGAAGCCAAAAUUCCACAGGUGCCCACUGAAAGUGAUGCUGAGAUACAAAACCUGGUGUGGAGGCUGCAAUAAGGGUCCUCCUUGGGUGACUUUGUGGCCGUCUACUGCCACCCUCUAUGUUUCAUCUGAUUCGUGUAGGAAAAAUACCAAGAAGGUGGCCACUGCAAGUCUGGAAGAGAGUCCUCACAAGAACCCAAUCAUGCUG